UUUCAUUUUUGACUAACAAAAUUAUCAAUUGAUUUUCAAACAGUCACGUAAGCAAAAUUAGCAUUCCAAUUACGUGACAAUUCAGUAUGACACUUUUUUAAUUAGUACAAACUACACGUUAUAACUUUUUAAAUGUUUCUCAAUUAAUAUACAGGGGAUAUAACUCACUUAUUUUGAUAUCAUGUUCCUCUGUAUCUAAAUGAUUCAUUUUUAUGUAUUUUAUAUUAAAAAAUACACAUGAAAAAGUGAUUAUAAAUUCAUAAGUAUUAUGUAUAGCUAUUUUUAUAAUUUAAAACUAAUAAUAUCUACAUAAAUACAAUGAAUUUUUAAAAUUUUAAAUUUAUCAUUAUUAUCUGGUAAAAAUUACAUUUUAAAAAGAAGAUGGUUAAUCUCUGACAAAAAAAUGGUUGAUCAAAACAAACACAUGGGCCAGACCAAAUAUUUUAAUAAAGCCUUGGCCCACCAGAUCAGUCAUUUAAUAAACCUUCUUCUUCUUAGGGUUUAUCUAAUAAACGAACAGUGUCAGCUUUUCUCCAAAUGCAAGAUCCGAUUUUGUUCAAGAAACUCUGAUUCUCGCAAAGAAAUGGAUCUUUCUCCCAGAACAAACAGAAUCUACGAUUUUCUCAGCAAAGCAUAUGAGAUGGUUGAUGAUCCUUCCACGGAUAAGAUAAUCUCGUGGGGACCAAACGGAACAUCGUUCAUAGUCUGGAAACCGCUAAAAUGUUAAAGAGACCUUCUUACACGACACUUGGGAAUCACAAACUUUGUAAGAUUCGAGGGAUAUGGAUUUAGCAAGAUCAGUGUGUCUGGAGGACAACAGUUGGAGUUUGUAUGCGAUGACUUCGUGAAGGGACACCCUGAACUUUUGGAGAAGAUUGGUGAUCGCUACAUGGCCAAGUUGAGAGCUUUUCAUGAGAAGAGGUACAAGCCUUUUGAGGAUCGGCUUAAAAACGCCAAGACCAAGGAAGAGUGGGAUCUAGCAGUGAAGGAGCAGAAGGAGUUUUUUAAAAAUGAUUGUAAGGAGAGAAGGGAGAGCAGGCUGAGGAUGGAGAGCUCUCCACUAGCUCCGGAGAAUCAAGUGCAGAGUAAUGGAACUUGAUCAGCUUAAUCCUCCUCCUCUCCAUCUUUGUAAAAACCUUUUUAUGUAUUGGAUUUCUCUACUUUGGUUAUGUUUCUAAACAAGAACUCUCUGUGUUGGAUUCUGGUUGUUUUGUUUCCACUUGAACCCUACUCAUCUUGUUAA
Molecule: long non-coding RNA, 1243 nt
Organism: Brassica napus (rape)
Lineage: Eukaryota; Viridiplantae; Streptophyta; Magnoliopsida; Brassicales; Brassicaceae
Exons: 3
Source: RefSeq, a predicted model, not a curated record